UAUUUCUGCCCAAUGACCACUGAUCUUCUUGAAAUCUAGCUGGGUAGAUAGCCAAUGAGCUGAGGUAAACGCCAGUAUGUAAUGGUUUGGGGUUGGACCACAAUUCCUUGGUUGUAAUCGCACGCGCAGGGAACUCCAUUCUCACCUUGACGAUCAGAGGAGUUGCUGUAAGGCUUUUUACACACAGCUGUAUUUCGGAAAGUUGUAGUUUCAACGAUUUCAUUGAAGAUAUCAUGGCAAAUAAAUCAUGUAAAGCAAAGUCAAACUCUAAAGUGAAAAAGUGAAAGUGAGACAGAUUUUUUUUGUUUGAGGAAUCUCGGAGUGUUAUGAUUCAAACGAACUGAGGAGCUGUUUCUGCAAGGACAGGAAGUACUUCUGGACGGUGAUAGCGACUCCGACUGGGAUCCCCCGGUGCCAAGCUGCCCGCUCUACCUGUGCCCCCAGUGGUGUUCAUAUGCCACAGUUCAUUACUGCAGGCAUGACUGUGCCUCAGGGCCAAAAGGGCACAGCAUGGCGGCGUCGUUGUGUUCUGUGUCGCAUGAAAUGCACCACUUGUUCAGUUUACCUCUGCUUUACAUCAGAAAGAGACUGCUAUGGGACAUGGCACAGGCAGCAAAAUAUUAUGACGGGGACUUCCAAGGUGUGUACUGUUUUUUUUGUAAUAUUUAUUUUUCAAUAUUUUUAUAAACAUUUUUUUUGUGUGUAGAAUUGCUUUUUGAUAUGUUGUAUAUAGUUAUUUGCACUGCUGUAUAUAGUUAUAGGUCAUUACACCAAUUCGGCCACUUGGGUACAUAUGGGCAACUUGUGUGGGACACCUGGGUGACUUCAUGCUAAAUGUCAUGUAGCUCACCCAUUCCUGAAGUUAUCAGUCUGAAACUUUGCACACCUACAGUUGCCCUCUUGUGUUAUCGAUCAAAAUUAUCUCCAGCAUCCGAUCUGACUGUGUGGCUAUUCUAGUACAUGUGAAAGAUGAUACUACAACAAUAAAAAUCAGAAAAUGUA
Oncorhynchus gorbuscha (pink salmon) is the source of this 1002-nucleotide long non-coding RNA. RefSeq lists it as uncharacterized. The record is from RefSeq and is a predicted model, not a curated record. The transcript has 2 exons. Lineage: Eukaryota; Metazoa; Chordata; Actinopteri; Salmoniformes; Salmonidae.